Molecule: ribosomal RNA, 253 nt
Filed under: uncultured bacterium
Lineage: Bacteria
Description: partial 16S ribosomal RNA
Rfam family: Bacterial small subunit ribosomal RNA
Source: RNAcentral
UACGGAGGGUGCAAGCGUUGUCCGGAUUUAUUGGGUUUAAAGGGUGCGUAGGCGGCUUGUUAAGUCAGCGGUGAAAUCCCAGGGCUCAACCCUGGAACUGCCGUUGAUACUGGCAAGCUUGAGUUCGGUCGAGGCGGGCGGAACUGGUGGUGUAGCGGUGAAAUGCAUAGAUACCACCAAGAACCCCGAUUGCGAAGGCAGCUCGCUGGGCCGAAACUGACGCUGAGGCACGAAAGCGUGGGGAGCGAACAGG